RNAcentral lists this long non-coding RNA (257 nucleotides) under Carica papaya (papaya). RNAcentral's name for it is "long non-coding RNA (CPAP_LNC002886)". The record is from RNAcentral. Lineage: Eukaryota; Viridiplantae; Streptophyta; Magnoliopsida; Brassicales; Caricaceae.
CUUUGAUACGAUGUUGAGUACUACCACAUCUAAAGCAUCCUUUUGUCAACUUGUAGCAGGGUCUGUUACCAUGGUUCUUUCUACAAUGGGGACAUAUAUGUUAUGUCGCUUGUGUUGGGACUAAAAGAUUCGUUUUCUGCCUUUUAUCAGGUUGUUGUGGCUCAUAGACCUUUCUCUUAUUAUUUGGUAUGAAUGGUCGAACUCGCUGAAUCUGGUGUGAGACUGGGCUUGUAGCAUAUUCUGCAAUCUGGGCUCAU